CUAAGUAAACAAAGUGCCUCGGCAUGCCAGCUGCUUACCCUGACAGGCAGGACAGCAACUAGUGGGGAAAUUUUGGUGGGGGGAGAACCUGGGAGUCAGGGGAGUAACCCCUGACUAUGACUCUAUCC
This is a long non-coding RNA of Gopherus evgoodei (Goodes thornscrub tortoise), 128 nucleotides long. RefSeq lists it as uncharacterized. The record is from RefSeq and is a predicted model, not a curated record. The transcript is spliced from 3 exons. NCBI's taxonomy places the organism in Eukaryota, Metazoa, Chordata, Testudines, Testudinidae.